RNAcentral lists this transfer RNA (69 nucleotides) under Prosadenoporus spectaculum. Its description in RNAcentral is "tRNA-Ser". The record is from RNAcentral. Lineage: Eukaryota; Metazoa; Nemertea; Enopla; Monostilifera; Prosorhochmidae.
AAGAGUAACAUUUUAGAAAUUAUGGCUGCUAACUGUGAUUUGAGUGAGUAGUGUCAUUCUUACUUUUGU